Molecule: long non-coding RNA, 786 nt
Organism: Folsomia candida
Lineage: Eukaryota; Metazoa; Arthropoda; Collembola; Entomobryomorpha; Isotomidae
Exons: 2
Source: RefSeq, a predicted model, not a curated record
CACCUCAUUAAUCUAUUUUAAACGUUAAGUAGAGUGGUGAAACAUAUUGUGUAAAACAUGUUUCACCCAAAAAACAAGGUAGGCGUAGAUCGAACAAGACCAAAACUGGUUCUCAAUGCUUUCUACUAUUAUUUCAAAUAAUAGUUUUUGGUUGGACAGAUAAAUAGAUUGAAAAUUUCACAAUUUAAAGUGAAAAUGAAGAAAAUCCAUUUCACAGUUUACCUACGGCUUAUCCAGGUAACUGGAUUUUCUGCCCACUGAAUGUGAUACAAAUAUAUGACAAAAUAAGACGAGAAAACUGGCAGCAUUUUUACACAAUAUGAUUGAAAUUUAUUCCACAAAUCCACGCAAUCUUCAUCCUCCACGAUAAAAGUGAAACACAAGAACGCAUAACUAUUUUAUCGAGAUAAAUAAAAUGCGACACAUUUAUACGUACAUAGCACCUACCUCCUCAAAAUCUUCCCAGCAUGAUGUAAAUCACGAGUGAAACAACGUAAUGGAGUCACGUCAAAAUGACAUCGCAUCGCAGCGGCUGGCUGUGGCAUUUUGGUUGAUUUAUGUCAAGAUUCUCAUCUUGGAACUUCUUGAGUACGUGUCAAGAUGGAAAUUCGUGAAAAUGCGUGGAACGGAAAGACAAGCACAUACAUAUUCUAUUUAAAACUAAGUGAACUUUAUUCAAAAUGUACACAGUCGCAAUAUUCAUAAUAAUGGAAUAAUAUAUUAUAAUGAGAUGGAGGAAACCGUCGUUAAUAAUUGUGCCAAUUUAGUGAAAUUCAGAAAAUUGGA